Long non-coding RNA from Ipomoea nil (Japanese morning glory), 202 nucleotides. RefSeq lists it as uncharacterized. The transcript has 3 exons. The record is from RefSeq and is a predicted model, not a curated record. Lineage: Eukaryota; Viridiplantae; Streptophyta; Magnoliopsida; Solanales; Convolvulaceae.
UGAGACAGCAAGAGCUAGGAUUGAGAAAGCUAGGGACAACUGCUUGACUUUUGAUCAUUAGCAACUCUCAGAGCUCUUCUUGGCGAGAACACGAAACAGUGGUGGAGAAGUGUAGAAAGUUUUGCAGAACUUACAUUCAUCUAUACCAUCAAGAAAGUAUACCCAUCAUCUACACUUGAUCAAAGUCAUUGAAGUAGAAGGC